This 817-nucleotide ribosomal RNA is filed under the name uncultured archaeon. Its description in RNAcentral is "bacterial SSU rRNA". It matches the Rfam family "Archaeal small subunit ribosomal RNA", at positions 50 to 878 of the family's 1478-position model. The record is from RNAcentral.
CCUGCAGGCGGCCGCACUAGUGAUUACGGCUCAGUAACACGUGGACAACCUACCCUUGUGACGUGGAUAAACCCGGGAAACUGGGUAUAAUCCGCGAUAGUUGUGGAGACCUGGAAUGGCUCUACGACGAAAGCUCCGGCGCCCGAGGAUGGGUCUGCGGCCUAUCAGGUAGUAGUGGGUGUAACGUACCUACUAGCCUACGACGGGUACGGGUUGUGAGAGCAAGAGCCCGGAGAUGGAUUCUGAGGCACGAAUCCAGGCCCUACGGGGUGCAGCAGGCGCGAAAACUUUACAAUGCUGGCAACAGCGAUAAGGGGACCUCGAGUGCCAGGUUACAAAUCUGGCUGUCGAGAUGCCUAAAAAGCAUUUCAUAGCAAGGGCCGGGCAAGACCGGUGCCAGCCGCCGCGGUAACACCGGCGGCUCGAGUGGUAACCGCUAUUAUUUGGUCUAAAGGGUCUGUAGCCGGCCGAAUAAGUCUUUUGGGAAAUCUGGCUGCUCAACAGUCAGGCGAUCAGGAGAUACUGUUCGGCUCGAGGCCGGGAGAGGUGAGAGGUACUUCAGGGGUAGGGGUGAAAUCUUGUAAUCCUUGAAGGACCACCAGUGGCGAAGGCGUCUCACCAGAACGGGCCUGACGGCAAGGGACGAAAGCUAGGGGCACGAACCGGAUUAGAUACCCGGGUAGUCCUAGCCGUAAACGAUACUCGCUAGGUGUCGGCCACGGUGCGACCGUGGUCGGUGCCGUAGGGAAGCCGUGAAGCGAGCCGCCUGGGAAGUACGGCCGCAAGGCUGAAACUUAAAGGAAUUGGCGGGGGAGCA